RNAcentral lists this long non-coding RNA (2319 nucleotides) under Aotus nancymaae (Ma's night monkey). RNAcentral's name for it is "lncRNA (ENSANAG00000038595.1)". Lineage: Eukaryota; Metazoa; Chordata; Mammalia; Primates; Aotidae. The record is from RNAcentral.
AAUAUAUUUAGGAGCUGGGCGUGGUGGCUCAUGCCUGUAAUCCUGGCACUUUGGGAGGCUGAGGCAAAAGGACUGCUCGAACCCAGGAGUUUUAGUUCAGCCUGGGCAAUGUAUCAAGAUGCUGUUUCCACAAAAAAUACAAAAAUUAGCCAGGCAUGGUGGUGCUUGCCUGUAGUCCCAUCUACUCAGGAAGCUGAAGCAUGAGAAUUGCUUGAGCCUGGAAGGUUGAGGCUGCAGUGAGCUGAGAUUGUGCCACUGCACUCCAGCCUGGGUGACAGAGUGAGACACUCUCUCUCAAAAAAAAAAAGAAAAUGUAAGCAAAGGCAUGGACUGAGGGUGUGUAUGAAGAGAGAAGGCAGGAAGCAGAUGCCAGGGAUGGGAAGAUGAGGGUGUGAUUAAGCGUGGCCUCAGCAUGAAAUGCAGGGUUGAAGGAGUUGGUGGUGGUUAGAUACAGGCCAUGUCCCAAAAUGACUGAUGGGUGUUGUUAGGGAUUUGCAGUUUUGCCUCUGAGAGUGACAUAAUCAUAUUUGCAUGUUAGAAUGAUCACUCUUCAGGAGGGCUGGCGAUUGGGGUGGGAGCAGGUGUGAAUUCAGGGGACCAGUUAGAAGAAGGCAGCUGCCGACAUCCAGGUGGAGAGGAAUGGGCCUUGGCUAAGCGGGGGCAGGGGUUGGAGAACAGUGGGAUUUCAGAUGCAGAGAUAACAGGAUUUGGUGGCUGAUGGGAGGCAGGGAGUGAGGGAGAGGGAGGAGGAAAGGCCAACUGUCAGUUCUCAAGAGCUGGCUGGAGCUCUCUCUUUCCCUCCAGUGAGAACAACAUGUCCAGAACCAACAAAACCGAAUUCCAGCUGGAGCUGCCAGUGAAAUACGCUGUCUACAUGGUGGUCACCAGCCAUGAGGUCUCCACCAAAUAUCUCAACUUCACAGCCUCAGAGAAUACCAGUCGAGUCAUGCAGCAUCAAUAUCAGGUGGGGAGCUGGGACGUCUGGUUCCCAGCUGGGAAGGAAAAUCUAUGUGUAGAAAAUGCAGAAACAGGGCUGGGCACAGUGGUUCACGCCUGUAAUCCCAUCAUUUUGGGAGGCUGAGGAGGGCGGAUCACAAGGUCAGGAGUUCAAGACCAGCCUGACCAAUAUGGUGAAACCCCCUCUCUACUAAAAAUACAAGCGUGCCUGUAAUCCCCGGUACUCGGGAGGCUGAGGCAGAAGAAUCGCUUGAACCCGGGAGGCAGAGGUUGCAGUGAGCCAAGAUCGCACUACUGCACUCCAGCCCAGGCAAUAGAGUGAGACUCCGUCUCAAAAAAGAAAGAAAAUAAAAGAAAAUGCAGAAACAGGGAUGGGAAAUGUGCGUAAGGCACCUGUGGUGUGCCAGGCUUGGUUCCACGCUGCUAUCGUUCGGUAUGCACGCAUGCACACAUGCAAGGACGUAUGUGAUAUGCACGCACGUUAUUAUCUUAUGUUACCUUUGUAACGACUCUGUGGGGCGCUGUCAUGAUCCCCAGUUUACAGAUGAAGAAACUGAGGCUCAGGUUUACAGAACACGAUUGAGGUCUCCCAUCAAGUAAACAGGAGAGCUAGGACUGGAGACCAGGCUGUGUGGCGCUCGAAUGCGUACUAGGUGUAUACUCCACUCUUAAACAGGAAGGGGCAGGACGCCCGGGCCUGUGGCCUGCACCGUAGGGAGGGGAGGCUGAUUCUCCAGGCUGGUCGGGGAGGAAGGCAGAGCCCUGACCUCGCCCUCCCGGUGCAGGUCAGCAACCUGGGGCAAAGGACCCUUCCCAUCAGCCUGGUGUUCCUGGUGCCCGUCCGGCUGAACCAGGCGAUCAUAUGGGACCGUCCCCAGGUCACCUUCUCCGAGGUGAGUGGAGCACGGCCCUGCGCCUUCCUCACACCUCUGUUUCCACCCUUGGGUUUUGGAGCCACUCCGCCCCUCUCCCAGACCCAGGGCAUCUCACCUCCUGGCCGGCUGGCCCGGGCACCUUCAUCUCUGCCCCUUAGUGCCAGUGCCUCUCUUUCUUCAGAACCUCUCGAGUACGUGCCACACCAAGGAGAGCUUGCCCCCUCACUCCGACUUUCUGGCUGAGCUUCGGAAGGCCCCCGUGGUGGUGAGAAGCUAAGUCAGCCCCAGGGCCACGUGGAGACGCAGCGCGGUUCCCUGCUGGAGCCUAUCUGGUCUCUGAACAACGGGGAGGGGUCUUCUCUGCCUUCAGCUUCGUUACCAUCCCCUCCCCUCCUGCGUUCCGCAGAACUGCUCCAUCGCUGUCUGCCAGAGAAUCCAGUGUGACAUCCCGUUCUUUGGCAUCCAGGAAAAAUUCAAUGCCACCCUC